RNAcentral lists this long non-coding RNA (754 nucleotides) under Nicotiana benthamiana. Its description in RNAcentral is "long non-coding RNA (NBEN_LNC025233)". The record is from RNAcentral. Lineage: Eukaryota; Viridiplantae; Streptophyta; Magnoliopsida; Solanales; Solanaceae.
CCCCCCCCCCAACACACACACUCCCUUUUUAUUGGUAUUAUUUUUCCUAUGCCUUCCAUGUGAAAGUCUGAGAUUCAUGCAUCGAAUGUAUUUAAUCUUUCACUCCAAUAUAUUUUAUGAAGGAUGUGUAUGAUUUUGCCCUGGCACUGAUCUUAUCUCAUUCCUUGCAGCUGAACUUUUUGUCAAUGGAGAGAUAGUUCAGAGAUCACCUGAACGACAGAGGAGAGUAGAGCCUGUCCCUCAGCGUAACGACAGAAUAAGACCCAAUAGGUACAACAGGCGCAGAGAUAACAUAUGAAGAGAUAGUUCAGAGAUCACCUGAACGACAGAGGAGAGUAGAGCCUGUCCCUCAGCGUUACGACAGAAUAAGACCCAAUAGGUAUAACAGGCGCAGAGAUAACAUGCGAUGAAUUAUAUUCAAUGUAAGGAAGGUUCAGGUUGGAGUUGUAAGCACGGUUGUGUGGUGUUAGAGAAAACUUGAAUACCUAUCUUUCCGCAUUUGGACAUGUCUUCAAUCAAGCUAUGCUUCUAUAUUUGCUCUAUUUCACAUUUCAAACCAGUAGUCCUUCAUCUUCUCAGUUACUAAAACUUGAAUUUGUCUGAUGUAUAUCUACUAUGAGUUAACUUUGAGAAUCUAGUAUGAGUGGGUCUUUGCUAAUGCCAUUUGUUGAGGAAAACCUUUGCAUGGAAAGCUUUGCAUUUUGUUGCUUGAACAUAACCUGGUAUAACCACCAAUCCCUAUGCUCAUUUGUCA